GAAUUACUCCCUCCGAUCCAUAUUAGUUGUCAAAUAUUACAUGUAUCUAGACAUCUUUUAGUCAUAGAUACAUUCAUAUUUGGGCAAAUUCGAGACAAUUAAUAUGAAUCGGAGGGAGUAUUAA
This is a non-coding RNA of Brachypodium distachyon (stiff brome), 124 nucleotides long. The record is from Rfam. NCBI's taxonomy places the organism in Eukaryota, Viridiplantae, Streptophyta, Magnoliopsida, Poales, Poaceae.